GUUUAAAUGUGAACGGAGCCAGAGAUGAGAAGAAGAGAGCAUCUAUUUAUGAAUUAAAAAAAUUGAAGUGUAUUGAUGUUCUCUUCUUACAAGAAACUCACAGCGACAGCACCAACGAGGCCGACUGGAUGAGGGAGUGGGAAGGGGAAGUCCUCCUAAGCCACAAUACCAACCUCAGUGGAGGAGUGGGCUUCCUCUUCUCCAGGUCUUUUAAUCCACUGUCACUGGAGGUCAAACACAUCAUCGAGGGGAGGUUGUUCUUAGUCAAGGCACGGUUCGACCUUUUUACUGUUGUUUUUAUCAAUGUGUAUGCUCCAACAAUCGGUGCAGAGAGGAAGCUGUUUUUACAAAAAAUUGAUAAUGUUUUAAAUGGCUAGGUCUUUGUAUACUUCUGGGGUGUUUUUAGGCUGAGGAAGAG
Molecule: long non-coding RNA, 418 nt
Organism: Gasterosteus aculeatus aculeatus (three-spined stickleback)
Lineage: Eukaryota; Metazoa; Chordata; Actinopteri; Perciformes; Gasterosteidae
Source: Ensembl